Peromyscus maniculatus bairdii (prairie deer mouse) is the source of this 2759-nucleotide non-coding RNA. The record is from RefSeq and is a predicted model, not a curated record. NCBI's taxonomy places the organism in Eukaryota, Metazoa, Chordata, Mammalia, Rodentia, Cricetidae.
GCUCACCGGUCACCUGGCCAAGUCCUUAGCCGUGUCCAGAAAUGAGCUGGAGCCAAGGACUCUUGUCCUGUUCUCGGCAACGGCCCGGGUACAGUUUCUCCUGCCCAUGACACUCGGUCCACUCCAGACUGACCCUCCCUUUGACAAGUGUGUGUGAAGAGCUGGCACCGGCUGAUCAGAGGACUUCUCAUAUGGUCCCCUGCAGACUUCCUCUGAGCAGGCUUCCCUCUGUCAGAACCCUGCAGCCUCCUUAGUACUCUCUGUCAGCUUUUAACCCUGGUGCUCGUAAAUCUUGCAGAGGGUUAACGUGUGAUCGGAGUUAACUUUAGUAAUUAAGAUUGGAAUAAAAGAAUUGGCACUUGCCGGUGGCCAGCUAUCAAGGGAAAUUGGGACCACAUUGGUAAAUUACAGACAAGGAAACUGAUAGAGCUGGUGAAUUUAUUGGUUAGCCGAUAAAUUCCAACAUGGUGGAAAGACACUGAUGUGACCAUCUCUGUUUCUGACAUAACCCACUCAGGGCGUACAGCUUACAGGAGUCACUCCUCAGCCAUGGGAGAUCCAGUCUGGGACACUCUGCCAUUGUUAGAGGCCCAGUUCUGACACAUGCAUGCUUAUAGUAACACUCAGUUUAUAAGCUAGGCAUGGUAGGAGACUAACAACAUUAACUACUAUAAAAAAAAAAAAAAAGGGCAGCCAUCGCAGUAUACCGCCAUGAAAGCCGUGUGAGUGGGGUUUCUCCCCCUCUAGCUCUUGGUAUACUUCAUUCUGUGUGUGACCUGCUUUGUGGUGACAUGAGAAGAUGCAAUCCCUGAAUGACAAGAAGAAACGCGGACAGUGACAGAGUUGUUGAGACACACUGCUGUGCUACUCUGGAAAGGUUAUUGGAACAAAAGCACGGGAUACCACGGCAAACCUAUCUAGUCACGGAUGAGCUGCUGAAUAGCUGAUGAGAGGGUGAGCUAUACAGCGUGGAUACUGGAGCGAGGCCCAGCUGCUCCUCCAGGUGGAACAGAGCAGGCUGACAGAACAGCACACAGCCUCACAGUGUGAAACACAGGGAUUGUUUAUUUCUCCAAGUUUCAUCAGUGUUUUUAGACCACAAUUGACCUGUCAGUGACACCCCAGAUAGACAGGGGGGCAAAGGCAAUUCCUGUUAAAAAAUUAAAUGCAUUGGUUGGAUGCCUUCCUUUCUACAGGGAGUUUAUCAAUAAAUUGGUGCAUAUUUAAAAGGCAUACUUGGUUAGUCAGCAUCGUUCUCUUCCUCUCUCCCUCCUUUCCUCUCCCCUCCCCCUUCCCCCUUCCUCUCUCUCUCUCUCUCUCUCUCUCUCUCUCUCUCUCUCUCUCUCUCUCUCCUUUUCUUCCUCUCCUCUCUCUUUUCUCCCCUGUGCAUGGCUUUGGAAAACAGACUUGGCUCAGACUCAUCACCUACCAAGUCCUGGGGUCCCCAGGCGUGUGCCCACAUGCCCGGCUUCAAAGUUUGGUGGUUGAGGGAGAUGGGAGGGGAGAGAAUGGAAAGAGACUCCUGUGUUAAUCCAUGGGCAGACAAGGUGGGGUGAGCACAGUCUGCUGUACCAUUAACUCCUUGAACAUAAGGCAGUUAUUUCCUUAUAAAUUCCAACGUUUCUAGCUUAUGAAGAUGGGAAAUUUUGUCUUUAAAAGAAAAGCACGUGGGUCAGAUGCUGUAGAAGCACUCUGCGCUAUAAAGAACAGAAAGGUGAUCUGAGAAGCUGGCACAGUGGGUACCUCACGACAUUCGCCCAACCGUUUGCUGAAGCUGAACCCUGCCUUCUGGUAACAUGGAAAGGUUUUGGCUCAGUGCGCAUGUGCAGCGCUGGAAUUUUGAGACUCUACUCCCUUGACCUCCUCAGGACUGUCCCCUCCCCACCGCCAGGAGAAUCAUGAGCGGUAAUUUUCAGGAUCCACUUAGGUACCUCCUCCCAGAUUUGGCUGAGGAGGCUUCCUGGAUGCUCAGCUACAGACAGAAUUGGAAGCUAAAUUCGUCUGGCGGUAAAGCGCCCUGUGGACAGCAGGGGGCAGUGUUCAUCUUUAAAUAACGUGAGCCCGGCAGGCAGGCAAAGCUUUCCCAGAGCGGCCAAACACCCUUGGUGUCCAAGGAGCCAGCGAGCGAGGCCCCCAGAGCAAACACCGGAGUCUUUCAAACACAGAUUUCCUGAAUACAAAUCUUACGGCCUGGACAUAUUCCCAGUGGCUUCCCCCACACACACUGUGCUUCGUGUGAACCGCAGUUUCUUGCGGCGAGGGAAACAUUGUUAUGAUGCUCUUACAAAAUUUAACUGAAAUCUGGACAUGACUGGCUGACAAAGGCCGCGCCAUCCUUCAUGUUACUGGAAACUGAGUUCUCUUGGAGUAGAGAAGUGGACCUUAAGCAGGAGGGGAGGGCAGAGGAGAGGGAAGGUCACUUGGACUUGACUUCAGCCUCACACGGGAGCAGCUGUGCCUGGAGUGUGUCUGACUUCCCGCACAGCGAAGGGAUUUUAAAGCCCUGAGAUUCUGGACUUCGGCAAGCACACAAUCGCUCAUCUGACCUUGAGCUGUGUUCCACAAUCCCCUGCUCAGCAUAAAGGCAUAUGUGCAUGUUUAAUGAGUAAGAUCCGUAAGGUUGGGAAAAGAAAAAGCAACACCCUAGAUUUAUAUAUUCCAUUAAACAUGAUCUUCAUGGGCUAAUUAGUUAGUAAUUUCACCCUUGCUUGUAAUAUAAACCAUUUUAUGCUCAAUAAUAAUAAAAUCUAUGUAAACCA